Molecule: non-coding RNA, 292 nt
Organism: Arachis ipaensis
Lineage: Eukaryota; Viridiplantae; Streptophyta; Magnoliopsida; Fabales; Fabaceae
Source: RefSeq, a predicted model, not a curated record
AAUUUUGACUUUAGGUGGAAAUGAGCUCAUCAUGGCAACAAGGGAAACUCAGAGAAUUUUGCAAGCAGAAAGGAAUCCAUUUGGCUGCAUGGUCACCAUUAGGAUCUUACACAAAAUCAUGGGGUACUAAUUCAGUUAUGGAGAGUCCAAUCAUUAAUGAAAUAGCCACUUCUAGACACAAGAGUGUGCCUCAGGUUUAACCAAGUUGGAAUCUCUGAAUCUGAAGUAGUGUAAUUGCAUAAUAGAUGUCGAUAUGAAACCUCUAUCAGAGCUACAAAAUCUUGCUCUGUUA